Molecule: ribosomal RNA, 340 nt
Filed under: uncultured Bacillus sp.
Lineage: Bacteria; Bacillati; Bacillota; Bacilli; Caryophanales; Bacillaceae
Description: bacterial SSU rRNA
Rfam family: Bacterial small subunit ribosomal RNA
Source: RNAcentral
AAGUGGAAUUCCAUGUGUAGCGGUGAAAUGCGUAGAGAUAUGGAGGAACACCAGUGGCGAAGGCGACUUUCUGGUCUGUAACUGACACUGAGGCGCGAAAGCGUGGGGAGCAAACAGGAUUAGAUACCCUGGUAGUCCACGCCGUAAACGAUGAGUGCUAAGUGUUAGAGGGUUUCCGCCCUUUAGUGCUGAAGUUAACGCAUUAAGCACUCCGCCUGGGGAGUACGGCCGCAAGGCUGAAACUCAAAGGAAUUGACGGGGGCCCGCACAAGCGGUGGAGCAUGUGGUUUAAUUUGAAGCAACGCGAAGAACCUUACCAGGUCUUGACAUCCUUUGACAA